AAGUCGUAACAAGGUUUCCGUAGGUGAACCUGCGGAAGGAUCAUUAGUGAACAUAGGACGUCCAACUUAACUUGGAGUCCGAACUCUCACUUUCUAACCCUGUGCAUUUGUUUGGGGUAGUAGCCUCUCGGGGCGAAUCCCUAUUCACUUAUAAACACAAAGUCUAUGAAUGUAUUUAAUUUUAUAACAAAAUAAAACUUUCAACAACGGAUCUCUUGGCUCUC
RNAcentral lists this unclassified non-coding RNA (224 nucleotides) under Rhodotorula taiwanensis. Its description in RNAcentral is "partial internal transcribed spacer region". The stretch from base 1 to 46 matches the Rfam family "Eukaryotic small subunit ribosomal RNA", at positions 1786 to 1831 of the family's 1831-position model. The record is from RNAcentral. Lineage: Eukaryota; Fungi; Basidiomycota; Microbotryomycetes; Sporidiobolales; Sporidiobolaceae.